GUCAGAGGCAAGUCCCGCCCCACCACCAGCCGUCCACUAUCCUGUUAUCCAGGCUCACCCGCGCCCCGGAAGCUGCAGCUUAGUCGGGGGUCAUGAUGGGCAGCAAGAUGGCGUCUGCUAGCAGAGUCGUUCAGGUAGUCAAGCCACAUACUCCAUUAAUAAGGUUCCCUGACAGAAGAGACAACCCUAAGCUCAAUGUAUCAGAAGCUUUGAGAUCAGCAGGAAUACCAUCUCACUCUUCUGCAAUUUCACAGCAUGCUAUGGGAAGUAAAUCACCAGAUUUGCUGAUGCAUCAGGGUCCUCCAGAUACUGUAGAAAUAAUAAAAUCAUUACCUCAGAAAUACAGAAGGAAACCUAUGUCUCAAGAAGAAAUCGAAUUUAUCCAAGUGUGGCCAUAAGACAGAGAUGAUCAGAUAGGCCGGGACUGUGAGAAACAGACCAUAGUUGGAGCCCUCAGUAAAUGUGCAUGAUGACAUAUAUGUGUAGAAGUAAAAACAGCGUGGAGUCCAGAAUAAUCACUGACAAGGCUGCUGUUUAUCAUCAGACAAAAGAAUUCUCUUUACAGUAAGGGACUUCCAAAUGACAAAUGAGCUAUUGUACAUUAAACAACUUUAAUAAAAUAUUCUGUAAAAAAUGAAGGAAAAUUUAGAUGGACACUUGUAUUUCCUAAUUUAUGUAUCUUGUUCAGCUUCUCCCAAGCUUAUCUAAAUUUAUAAGCUUUACAAUUAUUAAAAUAUACAUUUUUAAAUGCUAGCCUAAAAUUUACUCUUAACAAGUUUUACCACUGUUGAACUAUUAAAAGCACACAAUGUCUGGAAAAAUAUCAUAGGUUUCCCCUAAUUUCACUUUUCCUUCAGGUGCUGUUUAGAAUGGAUACAAUUUAUCAGGCAGAAUUGCUGCUGAUUAGGAUCAGUGAAACAGUGACUCCAUUAUUUGUUCUUAAUUCUUUAAUGUUUUUACAUCGACAAGGUUACUGGAGUAUAAUUGGCUUAAGCAUGUAAUACUCUAAAGGAUAAAAAUAUGGCCAAGGUGAAACAGGUGACAUUGUGGUAUUGACAUGGAGGAGAUAACUCAAAAGAUUAUUAUUUGUAACCUAUAUUCAGAAAAACUGUGAAGAGUAUAAAAUGGAAAUAGGAGUUCAAAAUGAAUAUAGCAUAGGAAUAUGUGACUAGAAAUUGCAAUUAUUUUUGGUGGGUGUUUUAAAAUGCUAUGUUCUUUUGGUUAUAUUACCGUUUUGAUUGUGAUCAUGUAUGUAAAUCCUAAUAACCAGUAACUUUCUCAAACUUAACAUCUGAAACCUCAUAAAAUCAACCUAAAGAUUUGCCUUAUUAGAGCAAUUUAUGAAAUUUAAUAAGGUCUUCCUGUGCCAAGAGUAUAUUAUUACUGUGUAAAGUAAAGGCUCACAAAGCUAAAUAAAUCUCUUCCUCAUAUUUCAUGUCUUCUAGAAUAUGCU
Molecule: RNA transcript, 1453 nt
Organism: Choloepus didactylus (southern two-toed sloth)
Lineage: Eukaryota; Metazoa; Chordata; Mammalia; Pilosa; Megalonychidae
Gene: KGD4
Gene name: mitochondrial ribosomal protein S36
Exons: 5
Source: RefSeq, a predicted model, not a curated record